This 253-nucleotide ribosomal RNA is filed under the name uncultured bacterium. Its description in RNAcentral is "partial 16S ribosomal RNA". It matches the Rfam family "Bacterial small subunit ribosomal RNA", at positions 524 to 776 of the family's 1533-position model. The record is from RNAcentral.
UACGUAGGUGGCAAGCGUUGUCCGGAUUUACUGGGCGUAAAGAGCGCGCAGGCGGUCGUUCAAGUCGAGUGUGAAAGCCCCCGGCUCAACUGGGGAGGGUCACUCGAUACUGAUCGACUCGAAGGCAGAAGAGGGAAGCGGAAUUCCCGGUGUAGUGGUGAAAUGCGUAGAUAUCGGGAGGAACACCAGUGGCGAAGGCGGCUACCUGGACAGUGAUUGACGCUGAGACGCGAAAGCAUGGGUAGCAAACAGG